CACACCAUAAAAGGAAAGCACGUUCCUGCCCCAUGACCAAAAAAGGAGUGGUGUUAGGCCACGCCCACACCACCCAGGCCACGCCCAUGCCAUAUAAGGAAGGCACUUCCUCAUUCAGUGACCAUAAAAGGCGUGGCCUUGCCCGGUCAAUCAUCGGGCCACACCCACACAGGAGACCCCGUGCAUGCCCCGCCCUCUCCUCCCAAAGCCCCGCCCACUUAAGCCCCGCCCCUUCCAGGCUCAGCGAAUCCCUGACCCGGGACGGGGCCAAGAUCCGCGCCCACAUCCGGCUGGUGCUGGAGGGCCUGCGGGAGCUGCAGGGGCUGCAGGGCCCCUCCCCCACCCCGGACCCCUGAGGGACCCCUGGGCUGGCCCCGCCCCCACCUGGGUGUAAAGCUGGAGGAUUUUACACCUCGGAGUAAGCUGUGUGUAAAGCUGGAGGGUUUUACACCUCGGAGUAAGCUGUGUGUAAAGCUGGGGAUUUUACACGUCGGAGUAAGCUGUGUGUAAAGCUGGAGUAAAAUUGAGUUUUUUAUACCUCGGAGUAACUUGUGUGUAAAGCUGGAGUAAAAUGGAGUUUUUUACACCUCGGAGUAACCUGUUUGUAAAGCUGGAGUGAGGGGGGUUGUUUCACACACAGCAGGGAGCUUGGAGUAACCGCGGAGUAAUUAAGGAGUAACCCAUGAGGGCGCUGAUGGCGGUGGGGGAGGGGCCUGUGAGUAACCCCGGGGUAACCCUGAGGAAACCCGGAGUAACCCUGGAGCAACUGCAGGGCACUGGCGGAGUAACCUGUGGGGAAACUCAGAGUAACCCCUGAGUAACUGCUGAGUAACCUUGAGGUACCACUGGAAUACCCUGUUCCUGGGCCUGGAGUAACCUCGGAGUAGCUCUGGAGUAACCUUGGGGCAGCCCCAUCCUGUUUUGGGCUGUGGAGUAAACAAGGAGUAACCUCAGAGCCCACUCUCCCCUCCCCCCAAAAAGGGGUGGAGCCACUUUGGGGCUGUCCCCGCCCCCUCCGAAGGGUGGGGGGCAGUGGGGGGAGGGGCUGUUGGUGGUGACGUCAUUGGGGAUCCCCAAGAAAGAACCCCUGAGCCCCCCCAUCCCAACAAGGGGCGUGUCCCCUUAAGCUCCGCCCCUUUUCCCCCUUCCCCACCACCUCUUUUCCUGCCCUUUGUGUGACGUCACUCAGUGCUUGGCCCUGCCCCUCACACGUCACUCAACGCUUUGGCCCCGCCUCUCACACGUCACUCAACGCUUUG
Molecule: long non-coding RNA, 1259 nt
Filed under: Parus major (Great Tit)
Lineage: Eukaryota; Metazoa; Chordata; Aves; Passeriformes; Paridae
Description: lncRNA (ENSPMJG00000002093.1)
Source: RNAcentral